AUUCUUCGGCAAUGCUGACGAGUGGCGCACGGGUGAGUAACGCGUACGGAAUCUGCCCUAGUCAGGGGGAAAGUCGCUGGAAACGGCGAAUAAUCCCGCAUAAGACCACAGAUAGGCAUCUAUUAGUGGUUAAAGUUACGGCGGACUAGGAUGAUCGUGCGUACUAUUAGCUAGAUGGUAAGGUAAUGGCUUACCAUGGCGACGAUAGUUAGGGGGCGUGAGAGCGUGGUCCCCCACACGGGUACUAAGACACGGACCCGACUCCUACGGGAGGCAGCAGUAAGGAAUAUUGGUCAAUGGAGGGAACUCUGAACCAGCCAUUCCGCGUGCGGGAAGAAGGCUCUAUGGGUUGUAAACCGCUUUUAUCAAGGAAGAAAGGUGUCCAUUUAUGGAUAAUUUGACGGUACUUGAGGAAUAAGCACCGGCUAACUCCGUGCCAGCAGCCGCGGUAAUACGGAGGGUGCAAGCGUUAUCCGGAAUCACUGGGUUUAAAGGGUACGCAGGCGGUGAAAUA
Molecule: ribosomal RNA, 514 nt
Filed under: uncultured bacterium
Lineage: Bacteria
Description: bacterial SSU rRNA
Rfam family: Bacterial small subunit ribosomal RNA
Source: RNAcentral